RNAcentral lists this ribosomal RNA (485 nucleotides) under uncultured bacterium. RNAcentral's name for it is "partial 16S ribosomal RNA". It matches the Rfam family "Bacterial small subunit ribosomal RNA", at positions 899 to 1397 of the family's 1533-position model. The record is from RNAcentral.
ACUCAAAGGAAUAGACGGGGACCCGCACAAGCGGAGGAUGAUGUGGUUUAAUAUGACGCUACGCGUAGAACCUUACCCAGGCUUGACAUCCUUGGAACCCACUGGAAACAGAGGGGUGCCGCAAGGAGCCAAGUGACAGGUGCUGCAUGGCCGUCGUCAGCUCGUGUUGUGAAAUGUUGGGUUAAGUCCCGCAACGAGCGCAACCCUUAUCGUAUGUUGUAUUUUUCAUGCGAGACUGCCCGGGCCAACCGGGAGGAAGGUGGGGAUGAAGUCAGGUCGGCAUGGCCCUUACGCCUGGGGCCACACACGUCAUACAAUGGCCGGUACAACGCGUUGCCAACCCGCGAGGGGGAGCUAAUCGCACCAAAACCGGUCUCAGUUCGGAUUGCAGGCUGCAACUCGCCUGCAUGAAGUCGGAUUCGCUAGUAAACGCAGGUCAGCACACUGCGUUGAAUACGUUCCCGGGUCUUGUACACACCGCCCGU